This 684-nucleotide ribosomal RNA is filed under the name uncultured bacterium. RNAcentral's name for it is "bacterial SSU rRNA". It matches the Rfam family "Bacterial small subunit ribosomal RNA", at positions 819 to 1502 of the family's 1533-position model. The record is from RNAcentral.
UGAGGUUGUGGCCUUGAGCCGUGGCUUUCGGAGCUAACGCGUUAAAUCGACCGCCUGGGGAGUACGGCCGCAAGGUUAAAACUCAAAUGAAUUGACGGGGGCCCGCACAAGCGGUGGAGCAUGUGGUUUAAUUCGAUGCAACGCGAAGAACCUUACCUACUCUUGACAUCCACAGAAGACUUCAGAGAUGAGGUUGUGCCUUCGGGAACUGUGAGACAGGUGCUGCAUGGCUGUCGUCAGCUCGUGUUGUGAAAUGUUGGGUUAAGUCCCGCAACGAGCGCAACCCUUAUCCUUUGUUGCCAGCGAGUAAUGUCGGGAACUCAAAGGAGACUGCCGGUGACAAACCGGAGGAAGGUGGGGAUGACGUCAAGUCAUCAUGGCCCUUACGAGUAGGGCUACACACGUGCUACAAUGGCGCAUACAAAGAGAAGCGAACUCGCGAGAGCCAGCGGACCUCACAAAGUGCGUCGUAGUCCGGAUUGGAGUCUGCAACUCGACUCCAUGAAGUCGGAAUCGCUAGUAAUCGUGGAUCAGAAUGCCACGGUGAAUACGUUCCCGGGCCUUGUACACACCGCCCGUCACACCAUGGGAGUGGGUUGCAAAAGAAGUAGGUAGCUUAACCUUCGGGAGGGCGCUUACCACUUUGUGAUUCAUGACUGGGGUGAAGUCGUAACAAGGUAGCCG